GAGCGAGACUUCAUCCUUCUACAUUAGAAGCAUUGAUAUGCACUCAAAAUUGGUUGGUAAAUGACAAAAAAGAAGCGACUCCACUAGUCACCAUGAAUGAUGAAGAUAAUGAUGUAGAUCCAACUAUGGAGCCAUACAUAGUUGAUCUUGAUGAUUAAGGUAG
Molecule: long non-coding RNA, 163 nt
Organism: Humulus lupulus (European hop)
Lineage: Eukaryota; Viridiplantae; Streptophyta; Magnoliopsida; Rosales; Cannabaceae
Exons: 3
Source: RefSeq, a predicted model, not a curated record